This 583-nucleotide ribosomal RNA is filed under the name Auricularia cornea. RNAcentral describes it as "partial small subunit ribosomal RNA". It matches the Rfam family "Bacterial small subunit ribosomal RNA", at positions 348 to 952 of the family's 1533-position model. The record is from RNAcentral. Lineage: Eukaryota; Fungi; Basidiomycota; Agaricomycetes; Auriculariales; Auriculariaceae.
UCAGCAGUCAAGAAUAUUAGUCAAUGCUCGAAAGAGUGAACUAGCUAACCGAAAUCAUGGGUGUGCCACCCAAGGUGUCGUAACGAAAGGUUGCACAAUUUUGUUGUCAAAAGCGAUAAAUUUGUUGUGAUUGGGAAAUAAUGAUAUAUCCGUUACUAUCAGUGUCGUCCAAAGCUGGUGCCAGAAGACUCGGUAAGGCCAGAGACGCAAACGUUAGUCGUCAUAAACAGGCGUAAAGGGUUCGUAGGCAUCUUUUUAAAGCAAUUUAAAGAUAGAAUCUAAUGGAGUUUGAACCGCUAAAUGCUUUAAGUAGGGAUGAAAUAUUUAGAGAUAAGGUAGAAUGCUCAAGGCGUAAGCAGCCUCUCAUGUAAAGAUUGACGCUGAGGAACUAAGGAGAGCCCCAGGAAAAAGGAUUAGAUACCCAAGUACCCUCUCUGCCAACGAUGAAUGGUACUCAUUAGCAAAUGUUUAGUGGGAAAGUUAACACGUGAACCAUUCCGCCUUGUGAGUACGGUCGCAAAGUCUGAAAACAAAAAAAUUAGUCGGUCUUGAAGCAAACGAAGUGAAGCAUGUUAUUUAAUUC